GAGAGUAUAACUCAGUGGUAGAGUGCAUGUUUGUCAUGCAUGAGGUCCUGGGUUCAAUCCCCAGUACCUCCA
Molecule: transfer RNA, 72 nt
Filed under: Camelus bactrianus (Bactrian camel)
Lineage: Eukaryota; Metazoa; Chordata; Mammalia; Artiodactyla; Camelidae
Also listed under: 2 other names
Rfam family: tRNA
About the family: Transfer RNA (tRNA) molecules are approximately 80 nucleotides in length.
Source: Rfam by way of RNAcentral